AGAAUCAACGCUGGCGGCGUGCCUAACACAUGCAAGUCGAACGAGAAAGUGGAGCAAUCCAUGAGUAAAGUGGCGCACGGGUGAGUAACACGUGACUAACCUACCCUUGAGUGGGGGAUAACCUCGGGAAACCGGGCUAAUACCGCAUAAUAUCGAGAGAUCAAAGGAGCAAUUCGCUUAAGGAGGGGGUCGCGGCUGAUUAGCUAGUUGGUAGGGUAAUGGCCUACCAAGGCUAUGAUCAGUA
This 244-nucleotide ribosomal RNA is filed under the name uncultured bacterium. RNAcentral's name for it is "partial small subunit ribosomal RNA". It matches the Rfam family "Bacterial small subunit ribosomal RNA", at positions 26 to 285 of the family's 1533-position model. The record is from RNAcentral.